CAGCUCUUGACAUACCAAUCGCGGAUAGUGGAGACACUUUCCUUCAGUUCGGCUGGAUUGGAUACAGGUGCUGCAUGGCUGUCGUCGGCUCGUGUCGUGAGAUGUUGGGUUAAGUCCCGCAACGAGCGCAACCCCUAUCCCUAGUUGCCAUCAGGUUAAGCUGGGCACUCUAUGGAAACUGCCGGUGACAAGCCGGAGGAAGGUGGGGAUGACGUCAAGUCCUCAUGGCCCUUACGGGCUGGGCUACACACGUGCUACAAUGGCGAUGACAGAGGGACGCAAGUCAGCGAUGGCGAGCUAAUCUCAAAAAGUCGUCUCAGUUCGGAUUGUUCUCUGCAACUCGAGAGCAUGAAGUCGGAAUCGCUAGUAAUCGCGUAUCAGCAUGACGCGG
Molecule: ribosomal RNA, 391 nt
Filed under: uncultured bacterium
Lineage: Bacteria
Description: bacterial SSU rRNA
Rfam family: Bacterial small subunit ribosomal RNA
Source: RNAcentral